GACGAACGCUGGCGGCGUGCCUAAUACAUGCAAGUCGAGCGGACUUUCCGGAGUGCUUGCACUCCGGAAGGUUAGCGGCGGACGGGUGAGUAACACGUAGGCAACCUGCCCAUAAGACCGGGAUAACAUUCGGAAACGAAUGCUAAUACCGGAUAGACGGACCUCUCGCAUGAGGGGAUCGUGAAAGGCGGAGCAAUCUGCGGCUUAUGGAUGGGCCUGCGGGGCAUUAGCUGGUUGGGGGGGUAAUGGCCUACCAAGGCUGCGGUGCGUAGGCGGCCUGGGAGGGUGGACAGCCACAAUGGGACUGAGAGACGGCCCAGACGCGUACGUGCGGCAAUAGUGGGGAAUAUUGCAGAAUGAGCGGAAGCGUGAUGAGGCAGCGCCGCGUGCGGGAAGACGGCCUUCCGGUGGAAAACCGGUUGCGGCUGUGACGAAGCGUGCGUGACGGUAACGGGUAAAGAAGCACCGGCUAACUACGUG
RNAcentral lists this ribosomal RNA (480 nucleotides) under uncultured bacterium. RNAcentral describes it as "partial 16S ribosomal RNA". It matches the Rfam family "Bacterial small subunit ribosomal RNA", at positions 28 to 507 of the family's 1533-position model. The record is from RNAcentral.